Balaenoptera ricei (Rice's whale) is the source of this 462-nucleotide long non-coding RNA. RefSeq lists it as uncharacterized. The record is from RefSeq and is a predicted model, not a curated record. The transcript has 3 exons. Lineage: Eukaryota; Metazoa; Chordata; Mammalia; Artiodactyla; Balaenopteridae.
GGCGAGUCAACGGGCCGCUCUCCCAGGCCGCGGCGGCUCCGAAGCAUGGGGCCCGGGCCUCCAGGCUGCAGCUCGGCACCCACAGACAUGCAUGUGUGCCCGGUCUACCCCGAGGACUCAGCGGGCGGGCGGGGUCGCUGAGGUGGCCUCCCAUUUCUGGAGCUGCUGGCAGCCACCCUGGCAUCCACCAAGAGGAGAGAACCUCCUGAGAACAAAGCCGACUCACAGGAAAGGUGACCUCAGAGGUGAAGAGAGACAAGAGUCCCGACGACGUUGUCCGAGACCCUGGAUUCAGCGAGGCCUGAAGUCAAACUAUUCAAGGCUCCUCAGAUCCGUCUCUGCUCCAACAUCACCUCCUCGGAGGCCUUCCCCGACCACCCUAUAGGAAACAGCCCCCUUUGUCCUUGUCCAUCCCUGUACCCGGCUUCAUUCUCUGUGUGGCACUUCUCACGACCCAACAUA